GGGCCUGUAGUUCAGUUGGUUAGAACACGCCGCUCAUAACGGUGAUGUCGCAGGUUCGAAUCCUGCCGGGCCCACCA
Molecule: transfer RNA, 77 nt
Filed under: Alphaproteobacteria bacterium
Lineage: Bacteria; Pseudomonadati; Pseudomonadota; Alphaproteobacteria
Also listed under: 4 other names
Description: tRNA-Ile
Rfam family: tRNA
About the family: Transfer RNA (tRNA) molecules are approximately 80 nucleotides in length. Their secondary structure includes four short double-helical elements and three loops (D, anti-codon, and T loops). Further hydrogen bonds mediate the characteristic L-shaped molecular structure. tRNAs have two regions of fundamental functional importance: the anti-codon, which is responsible for specific mRNA codon recognition, and the 3' end, to which the tRNAs corresponding amino acid is attached (by aminoacyl-tRNA synthetases). tRNAs cope with the degeneracy of the genetic code in two manners: having more than one tRNA (with a specific anti-codon) for a particular amino acid; and 'wobble' base-pairing, i.e. permitting non-standard base-pairing at the 3rd anti-codon position.
Source: RNAcentral